Molecule: ribosomal RNA, 209 nt
Filed under: uncultured bacterium
Lineage: Bacteria
Description: partial 16S ribosomal RNA
Rfam family: Bacterial small subunit ribosomal RNA
Source: RNAcentral
UGCGUAGGCGGUUGGGUAAGUCAGACGUGAAAUUCCAGGGCUCAACCCUGAAACUGCGUUUGAUACUGCCUGACUAGAGUACUGGAGAGGAGACUGGAAUUCACGGUGUAGCAGUGAAAUGCGUAGAUAUCGUGAGGAAGACCAGUGGCGAAGGCGAGUCUCUGGACAGUAACUGACGCUGAGGCACGAAGGCGUAGGGGAGACAAACG